GAUAAACUAGAACAGGACUUUUGGUCAACCCUCAUUUUACUUCUCUACUUUCUUCGUUAGGAGAGAUCAUCAAUUCUAUCAUUGGGCGACCCGAGGGUUUUAGCUUUAAACUCGUUGGUCUAAGAUUCAGGCGGUGAGACUAGCUCUGAACUUGCGCAUCCCCAGCCCUAGCAGCUUGCGUAUACUUUCAACUUUUGAUUGCAUUCCCUCUCUCCAGAGAAGAGAAGAGGAGGGAGAAGAGGAUGUCGUUUAAGAAAGAACCCUGCAGAAACUUUCAGCGUGGUCAUUGUCAAUUCGGCGAAGCGUGUAGAUAUCUUCAUGUGACUCAGCAACAGCCGAAAUCUAAUGUCUUUGGAUUUGGGACCCAAACUGGUUUAAAUGAACAGAAAAAGUUAAAUCCUUUUGGAUUUGGGACUCAAACAGGCUCUCACCAACAGCAGAAGUCCAAUCCUUUUGGCUUUGGUGUUCAGAGCAGUUCUCACCCAAAAGUGGGCACAGAUUUUGUAUCCAAACAGAAUCAAUCCAAGCUUUUUCAAAAUACAUGGACUCGUUCCACCUCCACACCUACUGGUGUUGCCCCACGGAAAUCUGAUAAUGAGACUCAAGCUGCAAAUCAUAAGUGCACUGACCCUGAGGCUUGCAGACGCCAAAUUGUAGAAGAUUUUGAGUCUGAAAGACCACUUUGGAAGCUAACCUGCUAUGGUCAUUCGAAAAAUGCACCAUGUGACAUUGUUGGUGAUAUUAGCUAUGAAGAAUUGCGGGCGGCAGCAUAUGAUGAUGCUAAGCAUGGGUUGAAUUUUCAGUCAAUAGUUGAGAGAGAGAGGAACUUACUCAGUUCCAAGUUAGUUGAGUUUGAUAACCUCCUCCGUAAGCCAUAUGCAGUUCUACCGAGCCGUUCUUCUAGCCAAACCCCAUUUUCUGGGGCCAGACCCAAUUCAUUUCCACCGACUGCUCAAAAUAGUGCCCCUCCUUUGGUCUCAAGCUUUAAUCAACUAGGUGCAUCACAAAAUUUGGGUCUCGGAAUUAGGCCCUUCACACCAUCUAACAAUGCUUUUGUGCAACUAAAUGCAAACCCAUAUUCUAGCCAGGCAUCGAAUGCAUUUGGAACAAACAAUUUGCCACAUAGAAGCGAAGGUGCAUUUAAUGGCCAAAUUCCUGCCCAGACACCUGGAAGCUCCUUUACAUCCAAUAUAGCAGGCUUCAACAACGGUGAUAACAUGAAUGCUGGAAGUACAUCUCGAGCAGCAGCUGCUCAAAUUUCAAAUUCAAGUAGUAACCAUUCACCUGUCGUUCGAAAUGGGCCCAACUUUAGUGCAGGUGAACCAGCAAACACAAAUGUUCAGUUCAUCUGUCAGGUUUGAAAGUAUCUAAUGAUGCAUCUGGAAUUAACUUUACGCAACUUGGGUUUGAAUCAAACAACAUACUUGGAUUGGCUUGAAACUUCUUGGCUCAAUAGCUUCAUGAAUAACUUGCAAACAGAAGAUGUGUCUGGGAACUCGAGUGUUUGGUUAAAAGAGAAAUGGAAUCCUGGAGAGAUUCCAGAAGAGGCUCCUCCAGAUGCAUUUAUCUAGCUAGGAUACUUUUGGGUUUAUAUGGAAAAGGUUUUUAGCAGUUUUCUAGAAUCCAACAAAUCAAAUAUAUUGUCAUCACUUGCAAAAUAAGCAUCCUUAUAAACGUAGCUGCAGAAAGACUGGAUCAGUCUCUCAGCUUGUCAAGACGAGAGAGUUGCACAUUUGUAGCAAAGCAUAGCGAUGUUAUGGCCCUUAGCACUGAAAUUUGUUAAUUAAGCCUAUCAUCCAUCUAUUUGAAUUCUGACAAGAUUUGAUCA
RNA transcript from Carya illinoinensis, 1828 nucleotides. It is a transcript of the gene named zinc finger CCCH domain-containing protein 16, with no coding region annotated. The record is from RefSeq and is a predicted model, not a curated record. Lineage: Eukaryota; Viridiplantae; Streptophyta; Magnoliopsida; Fagales; Juglandaceae. The transcript is spliced from 11 exons.